Acanthosepion pharaonis is the source of this 101-nucleotide non-coding RNA. NCBI's taxonomy places the organism in Eukaryota, Metazoa, Mollusca, Cephalopoda, Sepiida, Sepiidae. The record is from the annotation of a GenBank genome assembly.
AUCUUGAACAAUCGGUUCCCGUACAAACACCGAAGUUAAGCAACGUCGAGUCUGAUUAGUACCCAGAUGGGUGACCACUUGUGAAUACAACGUGCAGUAUG